CUUUGCCAGAUUCAGAAGCUUUUAUAAAGAGAAUCUCAAUUUCCUUCAUGCUUGAAAAUAAGUCCUUGGGAGCAGCUGCAUUCUCGAUACUGUCUUCCUUUGCAGUUGCUUUACCGAAAACAGAUGUAAAUGGAACUAGUGAAGAUGUGGUUCUUAAAGGUGACAAACCAGGAGAAUGGUUAUUCCCUCGAUUCACUAACUCAGGCUCUGAAGCUACACUUUUCACAGUAUGCAUAGUAGGAGUGGCAUUUGCUGCUCCAUCAUCGUGUACCCUGUUAAAAUUUUCAAAACUUCGCACCAGAGUUUCUGAAGCAGGUUCAUCAAACUCGUCCUCCGAGUUUUGAG
Molecule: unclassified non-coding RNA, 345 nt
Filed under: Hevea brasiliensis (rubber tree)
Lineage: Eukaryota; Viridiplantae; Streptophyta; Magnoliopsida; Malpighiales; Euphorbiaceae
Source: RNAcentral